UAUCUUCGGGGCAAGGUGAAAUUCCUGACCGGCAGUGAAAGUCUGCGAACUGCAUGAUGCAGCCGAGACGGUGCGAUUCCGUUACCGACAGUACAGUCUGGAUGAGAGAGGAUA
Molecule: non-coding RNA, 114 nt
Filed under: uncultured Negativibacillus sp.
Lineage: Bacteria; Bacillati; Bacillota
Description: FMN riboswitch (RFN element)
Rfam family: FMN riboswitch aptamer (RFN element)
About the family: The RFN element is a highly conserved domain that is found frequently in the 5'-untranslated regions of prokaryotic mRNAs that encode for flavin mononucleotide (FMN) biosynthesis and transport proteins. This element is a metabolite-dependent riboswitch that directly binds FMN in the absence of proteins. In Bacillus subtilis, the riboswitch most likely controls gene expression by causing premature transcription termination within the 5' untranslated region of the ribDEAHT operon and precluding access to the ribosome-binding site of ypaA mRNA.
Source: RNAcentral